UCCUUCACAGGCGAAACUCCUAUAACCUCGCCCCUUUUAAAUUCCACCGCUGCCACUAGCUUUCCCUUCCCUCCCUUUCAUCAUCAUCAUCAUCAUCAUCGACGUUUGCUCCCAAAUCAUGGAUCCCCAUUAGCAUUCCUCAACUGGGGUCAAGAGAAGAAAAACUGAUGGAGGGGAGUAAAAGCUUGAUACAGAUGGUCUUUUCUUGGUCUGUUCAAGAUGUUCUUAAUCAAAACCUCUAUAAAGACAAGGUGAGGAAAAUCCCAGAGACGUUCCCGUCAGUGACUCAUUAUAGGAGCUCAUUUAUUCUCCCACUUCUCGAGGAAACUCGUUCUGAUUUGUGUUCAAGCAUGAUGACAGUGUCAUCAGCACCAGUGUGUGAAAUAUUGUACAUUGAGAAGUCAGGGGAUUACAAGGAGCCCAAUGAUUUGAUAUAUGAUGUUGGAGUGAAUAAAAUGAAUGAUGCAGAGAAUGGGAAGGAAGUGUACGUUCCCGAGAAUGGAGAUCUCCUUGUUUUGGCAGAGGUAUGGCCGAAAUGCAUUGGUGAUUUGAGCUGGUUUAAUGAAUCAUAUAAGAUUGCUUUAGUUCAAAGGAAAAAAAGAUUUGAACAUGAAGAUUAUGACGAGAUUCAAAUUUUAUCAUCGAAGCCCAUCAAAGAGCAAGACAUGCAGCAACAUACCAAGCAAAAGACUCGUUUUUCUGUUUUUCUGACAAACAUGAAAACAAAUGUUCGAAUAUGGAAGGCACUGUCCUUGCUAGGAGAAGGGAACAUGAACAUCAUUCAACAAGUUCUGCAAACUGAUUCCUCUGUGGUAGACAAUUGUGCCAACUGUUUCAUUAGAGAAAAGCACAACGUUGAUGCAUCAACUUUAGGUGCAUAUAUUCGCUCCUUUGAUCUAAAUGCUUCCCAAGAAGAAGCAGUUUUAUCCUGUAUAUGUGCGAGGGAAUGUCAUCAUCGGAAUUCAGUCAAACUAAUAUGGGGUCCUCCUGGGACAGGAAAAACAAAGACUAUUGGUGCAUUAUUAUUUGCAUUUUUUAAAAGGAAAUGCAGAACCCUUACCUGUGCCCCAACCAAUGUGGCAGUGUUGGAAGUUACGACACGGCUUCUGAAUUUGGUAAUUCCAAAGCUUGAAUAUCAGACUUAUGGUCUUGGAGAUAUUAUUUUAUUUGGGAAUGGUGAGCGGAUGAAGAUUUGUAACCAUGAUGACCUUCUUGAUGUAUUUCUUGACUGUCGUGCUCAUAUACUUUCCAAUUGUUUAGCACCUUCAUCUGGAUGGAAUUAUCAUUUAAGAUUGAUGAUAUGCUUGCUUGAAGAUCCUGGCAAGCUUUACCAUGAGUACUUGCAAGAACUAGCCAACAGAAAGAAAGACAAAAAUUUCAAAGCACAAGAGAAGGGAAUUCUUAGAAAUGAGAAGAUUCAAAACAACAAAGAAAAACAGGAUGAUGUCAACUCUAAAAAGUCCAGAAACCAAAAUAACAAUGUUUUUUGGAGGAAAGUUAUUUUACAAACCUUAGAAGAAAGCAAGAAGACAUGGAAGGAGAAAUCUUGUUGUAGGAAGGAAAGCCGCUUGAAGCACAACAGAAAAGUGGACAUGGUUCAUUUUUCUCAAGAUCAUGAGAUUGAAGGAUUGACAUUCGAGGAGUUUGUAAACUGUAAAUUUAAUUACUGCAAAGAUCAGAUGCGGAUGCAUGUUGUAAUCAUGCAUACUCACUUGCCAUCUUCUGUCAUUUCUCCAAGAGUGGUAAAAAUGAUGAUUGAAUUUCUCGAGUUUCUUGAACUGCUUGAUUCUUUGUUACAAGCUGCUGAUGAAGGGUUAAGUCAUGCCUUCAGUCAAUCUAUGGAUGAACCUUAUGGAAUUGGCUUUUCUAAGCAGCACAAGCUGGAAGAGGCUAGAGAACAUUGCCUUAAGUUACUCAAAUUGCUCCACAGUAAAUUUACUCUUCCAGACAUUUCUGGGGAGUCUAAAAUCAAACUUUUCUGUCUAGAAAAGGCUCGCUUGAUAUUUUGCACUGCUUCAAGCUCUGCUAAGUUGUAUGCAGAGGAUAUGUUACGGUCGAGUCUGGAAGUGUUGAUUAUAGAUGAAGCUGCCCAACUGAAAGAGUGUGAAUCAACUAUCCCUUUACAAUUUCCCGGUCUGCGUCAUGCUAUCCUCGUAGGGGAUGAGUGCCAGUUGCCUGCAAUGGUUCAAAGCAAGAUUUCUGAGAAAGCUGAAUUUGGAAGAAGUUUAUUCCUAAGACUGGCACAAUUGGGACACAAAAAACACCUUCUGAAUGUUCAGUAUAGAAUGCAUCCAUCAAUAAGCUUGUUUCCAAAUGUAGAGUUCUAUGGAAAGCAGAUUCUUGAUGCUCCACUUGUUAAAGAAAGAAGCUAUGAGAAGUGUUUCCUUCAAGGAAAAAUGUAUGGCAGUUAUUCUUUCAUAAAUGUAGACUAUGGACAUGAAGAGGCUGAUGAUAGGCACAGCCGAAAAAAUGUGGUAGAGGUAGCUGUGGUCUCUGAAAUAGUUGCAAAACUUUUUGAAGAAUCAGUUUCAAUGAAAGAGACAUUGAGCGUUGGUGUUAUAUCACCUUACAGUGCUCAAGUGUCUGCCAUUCAAGAGAAACUUGGAAAGACAUUAAGUAGGGGUUCUGGCAAUGGUUUCUCUGUCAGUGUGCGCUCUGUUGAUGGGUUUCAAGGUGGCGAGGAAGAUAUCAUAGUAAUCUCCACUGUCAGAUGUGAUUUGAUGGGUUUGGUGGGGUUCCUUAAAAGUCCCCAGAGAACAAAUGUGGCUUUGACUCGUGCAAGGUAUUGCCUUUGGAUAGUGGGAAAUGGAGUAACUUUAGGUAAUAGUGAUUCUGUCUGGGAGAGAAUGGUCAUUGAUGCCAAGACUCGGGGAUAUUUUUACAAUGCUGAUGAGGAUGAGAGCUUGGCUCAAGCUAUCAUAGCUGCACUCGUUGAGGUUGGCAAAACUGAUCAAUUUCCUAAUGCACAUUUGGUCCUCUUUAAAAGUGCCACGUGGAAGGUUUCCUUUCAUGACGGUUUCUCCAAAUUUGUUGCGAGAACUAAAACCAUGGAGAUUUGUAAGGAAGUUAUUUCAAUGUUAAGGAAGCUUUUAAGCGGUUGGCGUCAGCCUCACAAAGGGAGAGAUCCUAAUUUCACCAAUGGGGUUUCUUCUCAGCUGUUGGAGCAAUAUAAGAUUAACGGAUCACUCUAUCUUGUCUGGACUGUAGACAUUCUAGAGGAAAAUGCAUGCAUUUUCCAGGUUCUGAAGGUUUGGGAUCUAUUACAUUUGUCUGAGAUACCGAAUUUAGCAAAGCUUGUUGACACCUUCUAUGGAAAAUAUACAGGGGAUCAAAUUAAUCGAUGCAAGCUAAGGCACUUCGAAGGGAACUUGCAGGUUCCGAUGACCUGGCCUGUUCAUUCUAAUGAACACCCUAAAGAUGAUCCUGUGGAGUUUUUGUCUAUCCAGUUUGCUUCACUCAGUUUACUGGAUUAACAUGGGCUAUCAGCUAAUUGUCAUAGGAGAUGAAAUCCUUGCUUCAAGCCUAGGCAAUGAGAUGGAGCUGGUAUAAUAUAUUUCUCGAAGGCUGUAAAGUCGAAAGUAGGUGUUCUGUCAACAUUGAGCAUGGUAUGCUGAAAAAAUGUCUAUGCAUGACGUAAAUACUUGCAGUAUUUGUAUAGUGUCUAGAGUAGCUAGUCAUAUUACUUGCCAAAUGGCUAAUUUCUUCUCCCCACGAUUCACACUAUGUACAUGUAAAAUCAUGGCGGCUUUUUGGGGAUUUACACAGAUGAAAGUAGGGUGGUAAAAUGUUUCGGAUUGGGCAACAAGGUUGCAGUUUGUGCGAUCUUUUGAUUGAACCAUUAUAUCGUUUCCAUGCAAUUGCAUAAUGAAGUUUCAGAUGA
Populus trichocarpa (black cottonwood) is the source of this 3880-nucleotide RNA transcript. RefSeq lists it as uncharacterized. The record is from RefSeq and is a predicted model, not a curated record. Lineage: Eukaryota; Viridiplantae; Streptophyta; Magnoliopsida; Malpighiales; Salicaceae. The transcript has 11 exons.